RNAcentral lists this ribosomal RNA (512 nucleotides) under uncultured Nannocystaceae bacterium. RNAcentral's name for it is "bacterial SSU rRNA". It matches the Rfam family "Bacterial small subunit ribosomal RNA", at positions 9 to 554 of the family's 1533-position model. Lineage: Bacteria; Pseudomonadati; Myxococcota; Nannocystales; Nannocystaceae. The record is from RNAcentral.
GAGUUUGAUCCUGGCUCAGAGCGAACGCUAGCGGCGGGCUUAACACAUGCAAGUCGAGCGCCUUACUUCGGUAAGGAGCGGCGAACGGGUGAGUAACACGUAGGUUACCUACCCCUGGGUGAGGGAUAACCAAGGGAAACUUUGGCUAAUACCACAUAUGGCCUACGGGUCAAAGCCUUCGGGCGCCUGGGGAUGGGCCUGCGGCCCAUUAUUUAAUCCUAGAUGGUGGGGUAACGGCCCACCAUGGGUACGAUGGGUAGCUGGUCUGAGAGGAUGAUCAGCCACACUGGGACUGAGACACGGCCCAGACUCCUACGGGAGGCAGCAGUGGGGAAUAUUGCGCAAUGGGCGAAAGCCUGACGCAGCCACGCCGCGUGUGUGACGAAGGCCUUCGGGUCGUAAAGCACUGUCGGGAGGAAAGAAGUUCUGACGGUACCUCCCAAGAAAGCACCGGCUAACUCCGUGCCAGCAGCCGCGGUAAUACGGAGGGUGCAAGCGUUGCUCGGAAUCAC